CGCGGCCCGGCCCUGCUUGUCAGGCCUGAGAACUGGGAGGAGGCUGGAGAAAAGAUGCCCUCUGAAUCUUUCUGUUUGGCUGCCCAGGCUCGCCUUGACUCCAAAUGGUUGAAAACAGAUACACAGAUGCAGUCUCACCUUGUCGCCUAGGCUGGAGUAUAGUGGUG
Rhinopithecus roxellana (golden snub-nosed monkey) is the source of this 167-nucleotide long non-coding RNA. RefSeq lists it as uncharacterized. The record is from RefSeq and is a predicted model, not a curated record. The transcript is spliced from 3 exons. NCBI's taxonomy places the organism in Eukaryota, Metazoa, Chordata, Mammalia, Primates, Cercopithecidae.